Long non-coding RNA from Pantherophis guttatus, 520 nucleotides. RefSeq lists it as uncharacterized. NCBI's taxonomy places the organism in Eukaryota, Metazoa, Chordata, Lepidosauria, Squamata, Colubridae. The record is from RefSeq and is a predicted model, not a curated record.
CCAAUAUGCCCACACAAUUCUUCUGAAGGAAGAAAAAGCCCAAGGACAACAUAUAUAUUUUCCUAGACAAAAAGUAUUUUUUUACAAAACUCCAAAAUGUAUAGUUGCAUCAAAAAGCAGGUUACCUGAUGCAAACUAUUUGGGAAGGAGAAAAUAGAACUAAUGAUAGCAGUGAGCUUUCAACCCACAGGGCUCACAUAUAGAUCUCAUCCUCAACAGCAGCUGACAUGGCUAAAGGGAUAAAAGUACUGAAGAGUUUUGCAAAUGAAACUCUCCUUCACCUUCAAACAAAUCCCAUAAGCUAUUUUAACCCUUCAGAAGAUCCCUUUUAAAUCUGAUUAAGAGGCUUUCAUUCAUCAAGCUUUGGGAUGGGUUGACCGGAUAAAUUGAAGCUCUGAAAUCCUGCUGUGGGUUCAAGAAAAAUAUGUCAUGAAUUUCAGUAAUAGUAAAAUAUGUGAAUUGCCUACAUCAUAGCACAAAUGUCAGCAAUAAAAACUAUCUGCUCUUUUUUUUUUUAAUU